UACGGGGGGGGCAAGCGUUGUUCGGAAUUACUGGGCGUAAAGGGCUCAUAGGCGGCCAACUAAGUCAGACGUGAAAUCCCUCGGCUUAACCGGGGAACUGCGUCUGAUACUGGAUGGCUUGAAUCCGGGAGAGGGAUGCGGAAUUCCAGGUGUAGCGGUGAAAUGCGUAGAUAUCGGAAGGAACAUCAGUGGCGAAAGCGGCUUCCUGGACCAGUACCGACGUUCAGGCACGAAAGCGUGGGGAGCAAACAGG
RNAcentral lists this ribosomal RNA (253 nucleotides) under uncultured bacterium. Its description in RNAcentral is "partial 16S ribosomal RNA". It matches the Rfam family "Bacterial small subunit ribosomal RNA", at positions 524 to 776 of the family's 1533-position model. The record is from RNAcentral.